GCACCCUUAACCACUCAAACUUCUGUCCAAGCUAUUUUACAACAAUUCUCUACCAUAACCCAAGGUACUAAAAAUAAUCUUAGCUCACUUCUGGACACGCAAUGGUUGCGUCAAAAUGCGAAUUACGCUAGGUAAAACUAAAGAAGAAUAAAAGGGAGUACGAAUGGGUUUCAAGUUUUGUUGAUCGGAUAUUACUGUACAUAGAAGCAUGCUUAGCAAGGGACAAACAACUUUUGGAAUACUAGUGCCUGUACAUUAAAACUUAGUGUAUAAUCAAAUGUUG
This 283-nucleotide long non-coding RNA is filed under the name Helianthus annuus (common sunflower). Its description in RNAcentral is "sRNA HanXRQr2_Chr17g0814941". Lineage: Eukaryota; Viridiplantae; Streptophyta; Magnoliopsida; Asterales; Asteraceae. The record is from RNAcentral.